This 253-nucleotide ribosomal RNA is filed under the name uncultured bacterium. Its description in RNAcentral is "partial 16S ribosomal RNA". It matches the Rfam family "Bacterial small subunit ribosomal RNA", at positions 524 to 776 of the family's 1533-position model. The record is from RNAcentral.
UACGGGGGGGGCAAGCGUUGUUCGGAAUUACUGGGCGUAAAGGGCUCGUAGGCGGCCAACUAAGUCAGACGUGAAAUCCCCAGGCUCAACCUGGGAACUGCGUCUGAUACUGGAUGGCUUGAAUUCGGGAGAGGGAUGCAGAAUUCCAGGUGUAGCGGUGAAAUGCGUAGAUAUCUGGAGGAAUACCGGUGGCGAAGGCGGCAUCCUGGACCGACAUUGACGCUGAUGAGCGAAAGCGUGGGGAGCAAGCAGG